AAUCAACGCUGGCGGCGUGCCUAACACAUGCAAGUCGAACGCGAAAGCCCCGCAAGGGGUAAGUAGAGUGGCAAACGGGUGAGUAACACGUGGGCGACCUGCCUUCGAGUGGGGAUAACGUCCCGAAAGGGACGCUAAUAUCGCAUGACAUCCUGCUUUUUAAGAGGCGGAGAUCAAAGCCGGGGAUCGCAAGACCUGGCGCUUGAAGAGGGGCCCGCGCCUGAUUAGCUAGUUGGGGGGUAACGGCUCACCAAGGCAUCGAUCAGUAUCCGGCCUGAGAGGGCGGACGGACACACUGGGACUGAGACACGGCCCAGACUCCUACGGGAGGCAGCAGGUGGGGAAUUGUUCGCAAUGGGCGCAAGCCUGACG
RNAcentral lists this ribosomal RNA (372 nucleotides) under uncultured bacterium. RNAcentral's name for it is "bacterial SSU rRNA". It matches the Rfam family "Bacterial small subunit ribosomal RNA", at positions 29 to 388 of the family's 1533-position model. The record is from RNAcentral.